This 599-nucleotide ribosomal RNA is filed under the name uncultured bacterium. RNAcentral describes it as "bacterial SSU rRNA". It matches the Rfam family "Bacterial small subunit ribosomal RNA", at positions 338 to 1413 of the family's 1533-position model. The record is from RNAcentral.
CCUACGGGAGGCAGCAGUGGGGAAUAUUGGACAAUGGGCGAAAGCCUGAUCCAGCAAUGCCGCGUGAGUGAUGAAGGCCUUAGGGUUGUAAAGCUCUUUUACCAGGGAUGAUAAUGACAGUACCUGGAGAAUAAGCUCCGGCUAACUCCGUGCCAGCAGCCGCGGUAAUACGGAGGGAGCUAGCGUUGUUCGGAAUUACUGGGCGUAAAGCGUACGUAGGCGGUUAUUCAAGUCAGAGGUGAAAGCCCGGGGCUCAACCCCGGAACUGCCUUUGAAACUAGGUAGCUAGAGUCUUGGAGAGGUUAGUGGAAUUCCGAGUGUAGAGGUGAAAUUCGUAGAUAUUCGGAAGAACACCAGUGGCGAAGGCGACUAACUGGACAAGUACUGACGCUGAGGUACGAAAGCGUGGGGAGCAAACAGGAUUAGAUACCCUGGUAGUCCACGCCGUAAACGAUGAUAACUAGCUGUUCGGGCACUUGGUGCCUGAGUGGCGCAGCUAACGCAUUAAGUUAUCCGCCUGGGGAGUACGGUCGCAAGAUUAAAACUUAAAGUAGUAGUAGACGNGUGAGAGUUCGACGACGACGACGACGGAGGAGGAG